UUGGAGGGCAAGUCUGGUGCCAGCAGCCGCGGUAAUUCCAGCUCCAAUAGCGUAUAUUAAGGUUGUUGCAGUUAAAAAGCUCGUAGUUGAAUUUCGGGGUUAGUAGGUUGGUCGUGCCUCCGGUAUGUUCUGGUCUCACUGAUUCCUCCUUCCUGAUGAACCGUAAUGCCAUUAAUUUGGUGUUGCGGGGAAUUUGGACUGUUACUUUGAAAAAAUUAGAGUGUUUAAAGCAAGCUAACGCUUGAAUACAUUAGCAUGGAAUAAUGAAAUAGGACGUUCGAUCCUAUUUUGUCGGUUUCUAGGAUUGACGUAAUGAUUAAUAGGGAUAGUUGGGGGCAUUAGUAUUCAAUUGUCAGAGGUGAAAUUCUUGGAUUUAUUGAAGACUAACUACUGCGAAAGCAUUUGCCAAGGACGUUUUCAUUAAUCAAGAACGAAAGUUAGGGGAUCGAAGACGAUCAGAUACCGUCGUAGUCUUAACCAUAAACUAUGCCGACUAGGGAUCGGAUGAUGCUAAUUUUUUAAUGACUCAUUCGGCGCCUUACGGGAAACCAAAGUGUUUGGGUUC
This 565-nucleotide ribosomal RNA is filed under the name uncultured Glomeromycotina. RNAcentral describes it as "SSU rRNA". It matches the Rfam family "Eukaryotic small subunit ribosomal RNA", at positions 548 to 1114 of the family's 1831-position model. Lineage: Eukaryota; Fungi; Glomeromycota. The record is from RNAcentral.